This 483-nucleotide ribosomal RNA is filed under the name uncultured bacterium. Its description in RNAcentral is "bacterial SSU rRNA". It matches the Rfam family "Bacterial small subunit ribosomal RNA", at positions 501 to 986 of the family's 1533-position model. The record is from RNAcentral.
CUACGUGCCAGCAGCCGCGGUAAUACGGAAGGUCCGGGCGUUAUCCGGAUUUAUUGGGUUUAAAGGGAGCGUAGGCCGGAGAUUAAGUGUGUUGUGAAAUGUAGACGCUCAACGUCUGACUUGCAGCGCAUACUGGUUUCCUUGAGUACGCACAACGUUGGCGGAAUUCGUCGUGUAGCGGUGAAAUGCUUAGAUAUGACGAAGAACUCCGAUCGCGAAGGCAGGUGUCCGGGCUGCAACUGACGCUGAGGCUCGAAAGUGUGGGUAUCAAACAGGAUUAGAUACCCUGGUAGUCCACACAGUAAACGAUGUAUACUCGCGGUUUGCGAUAUAUUGUAAGCCGCCAAGCGAAAGCAUUAAGUAUACCACCUGGGGAGUACGCCGGCAACGGUGAAACUCAAAGGAAUUGACGGGGGCCCGCACAAGCGGAGGAACAUGUGGUUUAAUUCGAUGAUACGCGAGGAACCUUACCCGGGCUUGAAC